CUGCUGCCUCCCGUAGGAGUCUGGGCCGUGUCUCAGUCCCCAAUGUGGCCGUUCAACCUCUCAGUCCGGCUACCGAUUGUCGGUUUGGUGGGCCGUUACCCCGCCAACUGCCUAAUCGGACGCGAGCCCAUCUUUCAGCGGAUUGCUCCUUUGAUAUCAGUGCCAUGCGACUCCGAUAUUUUAUGCGGUAUUAGCGUUCGUUUCCAAACGUUAUCCCCCUCUGAAAGGCAGGUUGCUCACGUGUUACUCACCCGUCCG
RNAcentral lists this ribosomal RNA (258 nucleotides) under uncultured bacterium. RNAcentral's name for it is "partial 16S ribosomal RNA". The record is from RNAcentral.